AAAGCGGGGGAUCGCAAGACCUCGCGCGAUUGGAGCGGCCGAUAUCAGAUUAGCUAGUUGGUGAGGUAAAGGCUCACCAAGGCGACGAUCUGUAGCUGGUCUGAGAGGACGACCAGCCACACUGGAACUGAGACACGGUCCAGACUCCUACGGGAGGCAGCAGUGGGGAAUUUUGGACAAUGGGCGCAAGCCUGAUCCAGCAAUGCCGCGUGCAGGAUGAAGGCCUUCGGGUUGUAAACUGCUUUUGUACGGAACGAAACGGCGAGCUCUAAUACAGUUUGCUAAUGACGGUACCGUAAGAAUAAGCACCGGCUAACUACGUGCCAGCAGCCGCGGUAAUACGUAGGGUGCGAGCGUUAAUCGGAAUUACUGGGCGUAAAGCGUGCGCAGGCGGUUAUGUAAGACAGAUGUGAAAUCCCCGGGCUCAACCUGGGACCUGCAUUUGUGACUGCAUAGCUAGAGUACGGUAGAGGGGGAUGGAAUUCCGCGUGUAGCAGUGAAAUGCGUAGAUAUGCGGAGGAACACCGAUGGCGAAGGCAAUCCCCUGGACCUGUACUGACGCUCAUGCACGAAAGCGUGGGGAGCAAACAGGAUUAGAUACCCUGGUAGUCCACGCCCUAAACGAUGUCAACUGGUUGUUGGGUCUUCACUGACUCAGUAACGAAGCUAACGCGUGAAGUUGACCGCCUGGGGAGUACGGCCGCAAGGU
This 709-nucleotide ribosomal RNA is filed under the name bacterium RS4G. Its description in RNAcentral is "bacterial SSU rRNA". It matches the Rfam family "Bacterial small subunit ribosomal RNA", at positions 202 to 894 of the family's 1533-position model. The record is from RNAcentral.